UACGGGGGGAGCAAGCGUUGUUCGGAUUUACUGGGCGUAAAGGGCGCGUAGGCGGUCGUGACAAGUCACUUGUGAAAUCUCCGGGCUUAACUCGGAACGGUCAAGUGAUACUGUCGGACUAGAGUACAGAAGGGGCAACUGGAAUUCCCGGUGUAGUGGUGAAAUGCGUAGAUAUCGGGAGGAACACCAGUGGCGAAGGCGACUACCUGGCCUGUUCUUGACGCUGAGGCGCGAAAGCUAGGGGAGCAAACGGG
Molecule: ribosomal RNA, 254 nt
Filed under: uncultured bacterium
Lineage: Bacteria
Description: partial 16S ribosomal RNA
Rfam family: Bacterial small subunit ribosomal RNA
Source: RNAcentral